GGUGAGUAGCACGUGGGUAACCUACCCUUAGAUUUGGGAUAACUCCGCGAAAGCGGGGCUAAUACUGAAUGAUAUUCCGAUUCCCAAGGGAGUCGGAAUCAAAGGUGGCCUCUGCAUGCAAGCUAUCAUCAAAGGAUGGGCCCGCGUACCAUUAGCUAGUUGGUAGGGUAAUAGCCUACCGAGGCGACGAUGGUUAGCUGGUCUGAGAGGAUGGCCAGCCACACUGGAACUGAGACACGGUCCAGACUCCUACGGGAGGCAGCAGUGGGGAAUCUUGCGCAAUGGGGGAAACCUUGACGCAGCAACGCCGCGUGGGUGAUGAAGGCCUUCGGGUCGUAAAGCCCUGUCAGGUGGGAAGAAACGUAUCGGUGUUAAUACCGCCGAUAUUUGACGGUACCACCGGAGGAAGCACCGGCUAACUCCGUGCCAGCAGCCGCGGUAAUACGGAGGGUGCAAGCGUUGUUCGGAAUUACUGGGCGUAAAGCGCGUGUAGGCGGUCGGGCAAGUUAGAUGUGAAAGCCUUCCGCUUAACGGAAGAAGUGCAUUUAAUACUACCCGGCUGGAGUACGGGAGAGGAGAGUGGAAUUCCCGGUGUAGAGGUGAAAUUCGUAGAUAUCGGGAGGAACACCAGUAGCGAAGGCGGCUCUCUGGUCCGAUACUGACGCUGAGACGCGAAAGCGUGGGGAGCAAACAGGAUUAGAUACCCUGGUAGUCCACGCCGUAAACGAUGGGCACUAGGUGUAGGAGGUAUUGACCCCUUCUGUGCCGAAGUUAACGCAUUAAGUGCCCCGCCUGAGGGAGUACGACCGCAAGGUU
RNAcentral lists this ribosomal RNA (816 nucleotides) under uncultured bacterium. RNAcentral describes it as "bacterial SSU rRNA". It matches the Rfam family "Bacterial small subunit ribosomal RNA", at positions 105 to 895 of the family's 1533-position model. The record is from RNAcentral.